Molecule: long non-coding RNA, 709 nt
Organism: Tupaia belangeri chinensis (Chinese tree shrew)
Lineage: Eukaryota; Metazoa; Chordata; Mammalia; Scandentia; Tupaiidae
Exons: 3
Source: RefSeq, a predicted model, not a curated record
GGCCCACAUGUGGAGUUAACAGCAGAGAACAUGCCAUGAUCAAUUGAUUUUUGUAUCAAAAAACAAUUUUGUUUCGGAAGGGCAAAUCUUGUCCUCAUUUCUGGCAGAUCACCAACAGAUAGAAGAAAGAUCGAAGAUCACCUAGCAAAGAGCAUGUUAUAAAGCUGUUGAAAUGUGUCCUGGAUACCGUCAAGCUCCCACCCAAGCUAUUUCCUGCCCUCUUUCCAGCAUCCAGCACAGCGCUAGCAUCACUGAGAGACUCUCAGAGUAUCUUUUGAAUAAAGCAAUGGCCUCACCUUAAACCCAUAAGGUUAUAAAACUUUAAAAGUGAAAAGUUUGAAGCUGCAUUCAGAAUUCAGGAAGAUGCAGUAUAAACAGAAGAAGCAGGUAGGUAGGUUCCACAAACAGGCACACGCACUGGCAAGCUGACAUGUACAAAUAUAGACACCAACUAAAGAGGGCUGCAAGGAGAGAACCGUGUCGGCGCUGCUAAAUUAUUCAUCACCUGCUCUGCAGAGUGAACACUAUCAGGAGUCCAGAAGACCUCACAGCUAGGUGCAUCAAGAGCCAGGAACCAAGAUGCUGGAUUCAGAGUCCGGAAGACCAGGGAAGGAAGCGUGGCUGGCACGUGUGAAACUGGGCUGAGAGCACUGCCCCAUUGCCAGUGGUCAACCUGCUCAGGCUAGAGAGGAAACAGGGCUGGCCAAGG